Molecule: long non-coding RNA, 6678 nt
Filed under: Gallus gallus (chicken)
Lineage: Eukaryota; Metazoa; Chordata; Aves; Galliformes; Phasianidae
Source: RNAcentral
ACUGAUUCCUCUCUGUCUGAAUUUUGUCUGAAAAAUAAUCAACUUGAGGAAGUUUAUAGGCAGAUGUUGGCCAUACGGCAGCAGAGGUUGAACCUUCCCACCAAUAUUCUGUUACAUGUUGUUGCUGUGUGACAGAUGGCAACAGAGGGGCAGUCUGACACAAUGGCAUGUGGCAUGGAAGUACAUAUGAAGCAAAGGUGUGUCAUUGAAUUCCUCCAUGCAGAAAAUACAGGUGAAAAUGCUCCUGUUUAUUGUUUCUUUUCUCACUCAUAUUGUUUAUAGGGCACUCCUGGUAAUAACAAUUCAUCUGGUAAUCUGAUUCAUCUAUGAGCAACUUGUCUUUUGGUAACAGGUGAUAUUGCAAAGCUGUGAUACAGUUCUCUGUUCUCAUUCUAUUCACUGAAAGUAGCAAAAAACAAUAGCUGAUGAAAAGCUGUGUUUAGAACCACAUACAUUGGAAUGCAACUUCAGAUUAUGGACAAGAUUUAAACUCCAAUUUUCAACAUCAGGAUGGAAGUGAAGAAGAUAGAUGAUUUUUCCUGCGGAUUUUGGAAAUGAAGCAGAUUUCCUAAAGUCCAGGUCUUGUGUGAGAAGAGUGCUGUGUGGAAAAAAAGAUGCGUGAGCCAGACAGUGAGAAACUCAGGCCUGGAUGCCUGCCUUUGUCUUCUACUUGCUUGAAAUAUUUACAUCAGGCAGAUUAGAAUCAAACAACAGAAAUUAGUGCCCCGCCAGGGUUUCCCCCUGCAUCAGACAAGUUAGUACAUGCAUAGCAACGACACCCUCAUGGGCACCGUCUACCUACAGGUAAAAGAAUUUGAAUUGCUGAUACACACAUGGAAAUCCUAUCUGACAGUGACUGUAGAGUGCAUCUCAAACUAACGGAUUUUUUUUCCUUUUCUGAUACGCAUGGAAAAUAACAGGGCCAUAAUGAGUACGUACCUCGAAGGCUUCUUUAUGUCUUGGAAAAAACAUUACAGACUGAAUCUUUUAGUAACUUGCUACCUUGGAUUGGUCAUCCAGAAAACAAAGGAGCCAUGACCACAUGUAGGCACUGGUGCCAGCUAAACUGUGUAUUUUCUUCACAAAUGCUGGAAUAACAAGGAGAAUGAUGUAAUACAAUCUGUACAAUUAUUUGCAAAUGCAUGAGUCUCAUUUGACUUACUCGGUAUUUAAAAAAAAGUAAACUGGCAUAGAAUUUCUACUACUAUCACACAACAGCUUGCAGCUAAAAAGCCAUUGUGCAUAAGUGCAAAUUGUGAAUUAGCAUAUCUUAAAAAAAAAAAAGAAAGAAGCAAAAAGCUUACACUCAGCAAACGUUUUAUGUGGAGGCAUUAUCUGAUGGACAGUGCGGUCAGUGCAGAACUCAGACCUAGUGGAAUGUGCCUAAAUUUGCUCUGAACCAAUAAGAAGGGGAAGAAAUGAGAAAUACUGUUGACAGUUACAGUCAAGUUGGCAAUAGUCACAUAAUUUUGUCUUACAUAGGUAGGAACACACAGACGUGUGUGUAUUCACACCAGGCAAUUGGAUCGCAGGUGAUGUGCCGAGCAUGAAACUGAACGUGACAUUGAGUUCAUCCAGGUGUAGCAGCAGUGUUUAUUUCAUGACAAGGAGAAAUCAUGUUGGAAAUGCACUGUACAGAAAUUAUAGUAAUAGCAGUUUAAAGGCAGUGGAGGAGUGGAUUCAUAUUAAAAAAUUACAUUUAAAAAAACAGUGAUAGUAUGAAUAAAGUAGAUUAGUCACUACCGAAAUUGUUUUAGGAAAGGAUGCUAAAAGAGGCCCUCCUGGGAUAGACUGGGAAGUUGAAUUUGGAAAUGAACAAAUAAUUCUUUAAUGUUAUUAAAGAGAGAAAUACUCCUGAGAUUUGUGUCAUAGGAAAUUUUAAUUUCUCAGUCACUGAGACUAAAAAUCAAAAAUAGACCAUGUCAUUGGUAUGAAAAUUUAAAGGUAUAUGUAACUGAGCAGUCAGUGAACCACCUGAGAGUGCUACUAUUUAGAAGUUUGUUUCUGUGACUAACACCAACAAUAUAGAUGAAGUGGUUGUGGGAAAAAUCCAAAGUGAUCACAUGAGGUUGAUUUACUUGAUGUGAGUUGGAAUGCAGGUCUGUGACUCUUACUGUUUAAACAAGAAGACUGUAUAUGAUGAGGGAACUAAAUGGUGAAGUCACUAGGAGUAAGAAUGUCAGUAAGAAUGUUCGUUUCAACUGAAGCCUGGAAUUUUUUUUGUAUUAAAGGUGUAGACCUGCUGGAGACUUCUGUUCUGAAGCAGAAGAAGUGAUAUCCCCAGCCAGCUCUGGAAAUAAGAGCAAAUUCUCUUGAAGUAGAUGCUAGGAAUGCACAGGGACUCCAAGGAUAAAGAAAAGUAUUAACCUGACAAAGAGAUUUUUCUUAGACAUCAAGAAGCUCAGGGAUAAAAUGGAAAUUGUCAGCAGGCUGCUCUUACAAAAUGCCUUCAAAUGCUGAGCAGAAAGCUCUCCUGGGGUGUGCAAGUAAAGCUGUACAUGGACUGUCCCAGCAGCAGUGGGAACAGACUGCAACUCCGAAUCCCUCAUCACAUUCCCAUAGUUUGGGAGACUUGGGGGACACUGUGGUGCUUGUAUUCUGGAUCACACAUCAUUACUGGCCAGUAAGUCACAAAAGUGUAUGUGGAAGGUAAGAACCAUUCUAGAUAAGUGUUUGGAUAUUUUUCUUUAACAAUAGGAACAUUUUGGUACAAAUUUGCUUUGAGCACCUGGUGAGGUUGGCCAGGCUGGGCCUGCUCUUCAGCUCAAGCAUCCAUAUAUCCAUAUAUCAGCUCAAGCAUCAGGGCAGGAAGGAUCAGCCAGAGCAGUGAAAAGCUUAGGAAAGUGACACCAACAAAGUCCUGCAAUGGCAAGUGUUAGGAUCAGCUUCAUUACUACCCUGUGUAAUUAUUUCACAUCAGAGUAUUCAGCAGGUGUUCAAACCUCUGUUUUGAGGUAAAGGGAACAAACAAGAAGAUCCUCAAUGAUUUUCUGUCUCCUCCUUAGUAAUGAGGAUAAACAUACAUACUAAAGGAUCCCAGUGGACUCAGGAGGAUGUGCCCCUCCUUAAAUCCUGUGGCUGCUUUAUCUGGAUCAAACAACACUGGCUCCAAAGGUGUGACAGCAGUUGGCCAGCAUGCAGUUGCUCUUGCUUGACCCACAUCUGGAAAAUCAACCCCAUUCCUCAGAAUAUCAAGGGAUAGCUUGGGGAGCUUUCUCAGCCUAACUUUGAAUGGACAGAGUAGAGAUUUGAUUCUGAGCUUCCAGUUACUCUCAUCAUUUUUCCUACUGGCUUCAUACAAAGUUCCCUUCUCUCAGUCAUUUUUCACUUUCCAGUGUCUCUGACAACACAAGCUGAUUAUAGAGUUGCUGAUUCUCACUGAUUAUUCAUAAUGCAUUUGAUACUUUUGUUUUGUGUUCUCUUUUUCCUUAAAAUCCCAGCUGAGUCCUAGUUUCUGUAUUUGGUUUCCUUUGUAACUAUAGAAGAAAUGUGAUGUCUCUGGUCUUAAAGAAAUACUUGAAAACUCAGUGGACGUGGAUGGCACAGUAAUCAGUGGUAAAUUCAAAUAAAUUGUAUACUGUUUUCUGAAGCCUUAGCCACAGUUUUGAACAAUAUGAUUUUAAAUGAUGAUCCUAGCUAAAAUAAUAAAUAUUUACAUAUGCUUUCAGAAAAUCUCUACUCUAGACCCCACCUUUGUGUCAAAGGAGCAUCCCUGCUUGUUUUCUGACUUCAGUAUUUUACACAUUUUUUUGAAAUGUUGUAGUGAAGCCUAAAAAAGUAAUAUGAUGAUGUCGAAGUAAAUGAGGAUUUUUGCUUUUAAUCCUUUGCUGCUGAUUUGUGGUCUCAGGCAAGAAAUUUGUUUCUCUUUCUGCUUUGAUUCUCUGUCUUUGUGGAUGAUAGAACUUUUCUUUUCCUGGAAAUGCAUUAUUUUAAUCACUGUAAGAGAUAACAAAGAGGCAAAACACUAGGCUAGGGGCAUUGUGGUAAGCUUGAUAUCUCGAAAGAAAUAGAAAAAAAGAAACACCUCUGAAGCUCUGGAUGUUUGAGGCUGGAUCACUGUAAAUAAUUCUACCAAGUUACGGCAUCCUCUGUGAGCCCAUGAGGUAAGGAUACCAAUAACAUUUGCACCUCAGUUGGUUAAUGAUCUGAGCCUUGCUGCUGCCUCAAGCUUUGUUUUUACUAAUAUAAGGAUAUUUUCAGCCCUAAUAUUGAGAAAGGCUUCAGAAAACCUACACAUCUGUGAAAUGACAAAGUGUGAUGAGUUUGCUUUACUCUAUCCAAAUAGGAAAUAUAGUACUUGCUUCUACGCUGCUUGAGUUUUGUGGCUAGAUUACUAUGUCCCGGGCCUUGUGAUACAUUUAUCUAACUUAGAAAACAAGAUGAGAAGAUCAGCAAGGAAAUUGCACGGUGCAUUGAUGCUUCACAGCUAUAAGUCCUAUGCACAAUAGGCACUGACUAAUACUGUUGGGUCUGUCUGAAUUUCAGUCAGGAGCAGCCUGAAAGGAAGGUAUUCCCCAGCUACCUCAGGAAAAAAUAGCCACCAGACAGAGAAAACUGCUGACUGACAGUGUUGUCAUUCAGAUAAAUGUCUGGCGUAUCACUGGCUUAUCACUAGAUUCUUCUUGUUUUGUUCUCAUUUUCUUGGGGAGUACUCAUUAAUCUUCUAGGGUCAGGCUAACAUCUUUAUUCUUGUACUUCACUGGUUUAUGUUUGGGGAAAAAAAAAUCCAGGUUAUUAGCUUUGUUCUUUUGGCACCUUUGCAAAAGCACAAAUGAAAAUAUAGGCAGUGACUGCAAAUAGGAGCUAGGUUUCAGUCUCAGACACUGUCUUGUGGUUAGUAAAACCUCUCUGAGCAAAGCAGUGGUUCACCUGUGAAUAUGCAGCUGUUAAAAAGCAUAAGGGGACAAAAAUACCACGGUAAGGAGAAUCCACCAUAAAUGAGUGGUAUAUCUGUGGAAGGAGGAAACAGAAAAAUCCUCCUAAAUGCCUGGAAAGGCUAGGAGAGCCAUUGUAAGUGCUCCUUUGUGCAAGUACCAGCAUGUUUAUGCAUCAUCAGAAGCGGUCAGGCUGCAAGAGGUAAGAGCAGUUUGCCAGGAACCCACAUGUCUGGAUAGCUGGAGUUUCUGAAAGGAAAGAAAGUUUUUAAAGCUGCCAUCAAACAUAGAGGCGUGGCCUGCUGUUGUCCACAUCAGAGGUUAUGGCUGAGGACAGUGAAAUUUUGUUGUCUCAGGAUGAUUCUAGGAAAGUUAUCUAUCACAGCUGUGUUAUCCUGUGUUCACCUGCUAGCUGGAUUCUACUUGGCAAUUGCCUUUGAACAGUUUGAUUUCCAGGUUUUAUUAAACGCAGGGUACCUGCAGAGGAAUGAGACGCCAGUGGUUAAUCACAGCAAAAUCCAUGUCUUCCUGCCACAGAGAUGUCAAAGAAAGACAGAGAGAAUGAGGCGAAUUGCUAUAAUUCUGUUGCAUCAUGGAAAAUAAAAACAUAAAAGCCAGGCACCACACCUUCCAAUUGAUUCCAGGUGGUUCUCUUCGCCCUGCCCUCACACAGUGACGCCUCAGUCUCCUGAAGAGCUGGUGCAGAUAGCUCUGCCUUAACAUCAUCUUUCCUUCCAUUUCAGCUGUCAGGCUAUUUAUUAAAAGAGUGAGUGGAGGAUACAGGGUCCGUGUAGCAGUCUCCUUCCAAAUCCUGACAAGUAUGCUUAAGGACCGUUUGAAGUCUGCUCUGUCUGCCUAGGAUGUGACAAGGAAGACAACAUUCAGAUUCUGCGGCUAACAUCUGCAGCCUUUUUUAGUUAUUCUGAACCCAUCUCUUGAAGAACCUCUUUCUACCCACCACCUGAAGAGUUCUUAGAGGUAAUCUAACUCAAUAGGCUAAAGUCAACUUUUGGCAAUAUCUCCGUGGACUUUACAAAGGGAAUUCCAUAACCUUCUGUUCAACUUCAGAGUGAAGAUGUGAUGCAAUGCAAGGACAGCUGGAUUAAUGCUGUGUGAGUGCAAACUUUUCAUUACAGAACUUCCAAACUGUUUCGGAGGGAAGAUUGGAAGGCAUAGUUGUCAGAUCCAUGCAGUUUCUGGAGAUUCCAGAGUUGGAUCAGAACAUUGAGUCUUUUUCAUUUAUGGGUGUGCUCAAUGAGCAAAAACACUAACUGCAAAGAAGUUGUACUCUAUCCUGCAGUUUGGACUCAAGGCUGGUUGAGACAAGCAGAGAAAUGUUGAAAUGAUGUGUGCAGACAAUGCUGAGGUUUUCUUUUAACACAAGCAGACUGCUGGUUUCUGUAAAGUCUCCAGCAGCAAUGAUUUAGUUCACUAUAGAUCCCAUAGGAUCAACUAGCAAACAAAAUAAUCAAAAUAAUGAACUAACUCUCUGAACAUCCCAGGUCUGUGAACAGCACGGAGAAGGCAAUGGAUGCUGUAGCAAAUUCUCUUCCUGGUUACAAAGACCAGAGCCUUCUGGAGCAUAUUUGUGCUGGGCUGCUCCGUUGUUCCAGCAGCAUGAUGCUAAGCAAAAGGAAAACUAUACUAAUUGGUCAGCAGGAAGUUUUCCUUGCACCAAAAAGCCCUCAUGGCGCUCAGGAUUGCCUGUACCUUAACACAGCUUAACGACAGCAGCCUUUAUAGUAGGUAAUACUUGCAUUUACAUUGAUGCGCUGCUGGGAUAAAAGGUCUGGCAGCUUCCCUG